RNAcentral lists this long non-coding RNA (463 nucleotides) under Homo sapiens (human). RNAcentral's name for it is "non-protein coding lnc-CCKAR-5:6". The record is from RNAcentral. Lineage: Eukaryota; Metazoa; Chordata; Mammalia; Primates; Hominidae.
UAGAAGUUCCUUCAGAUGGGUCCCUGGUGUGAGGGUGUCCUGUAUCAGACUGCCUAUUGAAGUUCAACCUGUGGUUCAAGACAGGAUCUCAUUCAGAAUACUACUUUCAUUCAGGCUGGAGUGCAGUGGCAUGAUCUUAGCUCUCUGCAACUUCCGCCUCCUGGGCUCAAGCGAUUCUCCUGUCUCAGGCUCCGGAGUAGCUGGGACUACAGGCAUGCGCCACAACACCAGGGAAAAAAACAAACCAACCAACAAACUGAGCCUGAAACUGAUAACACAGAUACGUACAGCAUCAUAUUUAAGUAACCAAUCGGAAUUAUUGCAGUGGAGAUGUUUUAUUGCCACCAAAGAUUUGCUGUCAUCCACACAGAAGAAUAAAAAGAUGAAAUAUCAGUGAGUUGAUCUAUGUUGCUCUGAUUCAAAGUUAAUGAUACAGUCUUCAUGUUUCUGUGCUUGUUCCUCU